GAUGAACGCUGGCGGCGUGCCUAAUACAUGCAAGUCGAGCGAACAGAUGAGGAGCUUGCUCCUCUGACGUUAGCGGCGGACGGGUGAGUAACACGUGGAUAACCUAUCUAUAAGACUGGGAUAACUUCGGGAAACCGGAGCUAAUACCGGAUAAUAUAUUGAACCGCAUGGUUCAAUAGUGAAAGACGGUUUUGCUGUCACUUAUAGAUGGAUCCGCGCCGCAUUAGCUAGUUGGUAAGGUAACGGCUUACCAAGGCAACGAUGCGUAGCCGACCUGAGAGGGUGAUCGGCCACACUGGAACUGAGACACGGUCCAGACUCCUACGGGAGGCAGCAGUAGGGAAUCUUCCGCAAUGGGCGAAAGCCUGACGGAGCAACGCCGCGUGAGUGAUGAAGGUCUGCGGAUCGUAAAACUCUGUUAGUAGGGAAGAACAAAUGUGUAAGUAACUAUGCACGUCUUGACGGUACCUAAUCAGAAAGCCACGGCUAACUACGUG
This 497-nucleotide ribosomal RNA is filed under the name uncultured bacterium. RNAcentral describes it as "partial 16S ribosomal RNA". It matches the Rfam family "Bacterial small subunit ribosomal RNA", at positions 28 to 507 of the family's 1533-position model. The record is from RNAcentral.